RNAcentral lists this ribosomal RNA (464 nucleotides) under uncultured bacterium. Its description in RNAcentral is "partial 16S ribosomal RNA". It matches the Rfam family "Bacterial small subunit ribosomal RNA", at positions 28 to 506 of the family's 1533-position model. The record is from RNAcentral.
GACGAACGCUGGCGGCGUGCUUAACACAUGCAAGUCGAACGGAAAGGCCCUGCUUGCAGGGUACUCGAGUGGCGAACGGGUGAGUAACACGUGGGUGAUCUGCCCUGCACUUCGGGAUAAGCCUGGGAAACUGGGUCUAAUACCGGAUAGUAGCCAUUUUUAGUGUGAUGGUUGGAAAGUUUUUUCGGUGUAGGAUGAGCUCGCGGCCUAUCAGCUUGUUGGUGGGGUAAUGGCCUACCAAGGCGGCGACGGGUAGCCGGCCUGAGAGGGUGGACGGCCACAUUGGGACUGAGAGACGGCCCAGACUACUACGGGAGGCAGCAGUGGGGAAUAUUGCACAAUGGGAGCAAGCCUGAUGCAGCGACGCCGCGUGGGGGAUGACGGCAUUCGGGUUGUAAACUACUUUCGCUAGGGACGAAGCUUUUUGUGAAGGUACCUAGAUAAGAAGCACCGGCAAACUACGG